GUGUCAGCCGCCGCGGUAAUACGUAGGGUGCGAGCGUUAAUCGGAAUUACUGGGCGUAAAGCGUGCGCAGGCGGUUGUGUAAGACAGAUGUGAAAUCCCCGGGCUCAACCUGGGAACUGCAUUUGUGACUGCACGGCUAGAGUGUGUCAGAGGGGGGUAGAAUUCCACGUGUAGCAGUGAAAUGCGUAGAGAUGUGGAGGAAUACCGAUGGCGAAGGCAGCCCCCUGGGAUAACACUGACGCUCAUGCACGAAAGCGUGGGGAGCAAACAGGAUUAGAAACCCCGGUAGUCC
RNAcentral lists this ribosomal RNA (292 nucleotides) under uncultured Oxalobacteraceae bacterium. Its description in RNAcentral is "partial 16S ribosomal RNA". It matches the Rfam family "Bacterial small subunit ribosomal RNA", at positions 505 to 796 of the family's 1533-position model. Lineage: Bacteria; Pseudomonadati; Pseudomonadota; Betaproteobacteria; Burkholderiales; Oxalobacteraceae. The record is from RNAcentral.